Long non-coding RNA from Monodelphis domestica (gray short-tailed opossum), 1718 nucleotides. NCBI's taxonomy places the organism in Eukaryota, Metazoa, Chordata, Mammalia, Didelphimorphia, Didelphidae. The record is from Ensembl.
CCUUGUAUUUCUAUUUCUAUCCCUGAGCACAGAAUCAGUAUUUAACAUGUAAUUGUUGAUUGAUCAACUAAUUAGAGGUGUUAGAUUUGAUGAAAAGAAGGUCCACCCUUAAUCGUUAUUGUUCAUCCUUUGUUUCCAAAGAGUGGACCUCUAUGACAUCAUAGAAUAGCUUAACUUGCACCUGAACUAGAUUUAAGUGAGGCAGAGCUGCACAAAGUCAUCAGCCUCAUCCUCUAGUCCAGAGUCAUCCAAUCCCAGUGGCAAAACAAAAGCCAGGACCACAGCCAAUGAUCCGGGAUUCCGUGGAUGACUUUGGUGUCCUUAAUGUUUGACCAAGCUCUAAGUGUUCCACAGGGACCUUCACGCCACUGGAACAAAUUGUUCUCAUUCAUCCAUUCUGCUGGGGUUCUGGGACACUGAUUUUAAACAGCUCUAACUUCCUGAUUCUACAAGUCUUCUUCCCUGAUUAAUUUCCUCUACCGCUGGUUACUCCUUUAUUGAGUACCUUUACAAAGAAGAAGUAUGGGAAGAGAAUUUGCAUUUAUAUGGCAACUAUUAUAUGUCAGACACUAAGCUAAGUGUUGUUUUUUUUUUUUUACAAUUAUCUCACAAUACCCCUGUGAGAUUCCGGGAUCUUCCCUCAAGAGUAAAGAGAGAGAGUCUCUUUCAGAAAAGUGGCUGCAGGAUGGCUGUAAAGGUCAUAGCUCCAGGUCAGUGAUUCUCCCCAGAUGAACUAAUUGGAGAGUCUGAGAGAGGAGGGGUUGGGAAGAAGGGGUCAAGGAUACUUCUUUCCUCUCUGACCUCCUGUGACCCAUCUCUUUCCCUUCACAGAAGGGGGAAAUGGUGUUAAAUACUUUCCAUAUUUUGAUUCAGAUCUUUGUUAUUCAUAAAUCAUCAGGGUUUGUUGGUUCUUUUUAGAAAAAAAAAUCGUUACCUUUUCUUAAUAGCAACUCUAAGACAGAAGGGCAAGAACCCCCCUCCCCCCCCAUCAGGUUCACACAGCUAGGAAGUGUCUGAGGUCAAAUUUGAACCCAGCAUAAAUCCUUGUUUAUAUUUUUUCCCCCUGUACUUUCUGGUACUAUGAAAUGAGCAUUGGACUUGUUAUUUAUUUUUUUAAAACCCUCACCUUCUCUCUUAGAAUCAAUACUGUAUAUUGGUUCCAAGGCAGAAGAGUGGUAAAGGCUAGGCAAUGGGGGUGAAGUGACUUGUCCAGGGUCACACAGCUAGGAAGUAUCUGAGAUCAAACUUGAACCCAGGACCUCCCAUCUCUGGAUCUGGCUCUCAAUCCACUGAGCCACCUAGCUGCCCUGUGAGCACUGGAUUUAGGCAGAAGAUUUGGGUUGAAAUCCUGAUUUUGCUACUUGCUACAGGUGUGACCUUGGACAAGUCACUUGAUCUCUGUGGACCUCCGCUUCAUCAUCUGUAAAAUAAGGGAAUUGAACCAAAUAACCUCCAGGUCUAGGAUCCUAGUACCACAAUAUUGUAAGGAUUAAGGGCUUCCGUGUCAGGUCAAUAGCCAAUGGAUCCAUAACACAUAGGGCACCAACAAUGCACAGAACCUGUCUUUUGGUUUACUCUCCUGACAUCCCAAAAGGUUUCUUUUGAGGGAACGGAAGCAUCCCGUCAGGUUGCUGGACAUGUCACCGGGCAUCCUUAUGACUCCGGGCUGGAGGAGGCAGCAGGACACCACUGCUCCCAGCUCUUAGCCAGGGCUCUUC